GCAUUCACUUUGGUAGCACACACACUAAAAUUGGGAUGAUACAGAGAAUAUUAACAUGGCUACUACACAAAUGUGGCAUGCAAAUUCAUGCAGCAUUUAU
Molecule: small nuclear RNA, 100 nt
Filed under: Cavia porcellus (domestic guinea pig)
Lineage: Eukaryota; Metazoa; Chordata; Mammalia; Rodentia; Caviidae
Source: RNAcentral